AUUGAACGCUGGCGGCAUGCCUUACACAUGCAUGUCGAACGGCAGCGGGGACUUCGGUCCGCCGGCGAGUGGCGAACGGGUGAGUAAUGUAUCGGAACGUACCUUUCAGUGGGGGAUAACGUAGCGAAAGUUACGCUAAUACCGCAUAUUCUCUGAGGAGGAAAGCAGGGGACCUUCGGGCCUUGCGCUGAUGGAGCGGCCGAUAUCAGAUUAGCUAGUUGGUGGGGUAAAGGCUCACCAAGGCUACGAUCUGUAGCGGGUCUGAGAGGAUGAUCCGCCACACUGGGACUGAGACACGGCCCAGACUCCUACGGGAGGCAGCAGUGGGGAAUUUUGGACAAUGGGCGAAAGCCUGAUCCAGCCAUGCCGCGUGAGUGAAGAAGGCCUUCGGGUUGUAAAGCUCUUUCGGACGGGAAGAAAUCAUGAGGGCUAAUAUCCCUUGUGGAUGACGGUACCGUAAUAAGAAGCACCGGCUAACUACGUGCCAGCCGCCGCAGUAA
This 500-nucleotide ribosomal RNA is filed under the name uncultured bacterium. RNAcentral's name for it is "partial 16S ribosomal RNA". It matches the Rfam family "Bacterial small subunit ribosomal RNA", at positions 30 to 523 of the family's 1533-position model. The record is from RNAcentral.